RNAcentral lists this ribosomal RNA (748 nucleotides) under uncultured Lachnospiraceae bacterium. RNAcentral's name for it is "bacterial SSU rRNA". It matches the Rfam family "Bacterial small subunit ribosomal RNA", at positions 28 to 776 of the family's 1533-position model. Lineage: Bacteria; Bacillati; Bacillota; Clostridia; Lachnospirales; Lachnospiraceae. The record is from RNAcentral.
GAUGAACGCUGGCGGCGUGCUUAACACAUGCAAGUCGAACGAAGCUGCUAAAAGGAAGUCUUCGGACAGAAUUUUAGUAGACUUAGUGGCGGACGGGUGAGUAACGCGUGGAUAACCUGCCUUAUACAGGGGGAUAACGGAGAGAAAUUUCCGCUAAGACCGCAUAAGACCACAGCACCGCAUGGUGCAGGGGUAAAAUAUUUAUAGGUAUAAGAUGGAUCCGCGUCCGAUUAGCUAGUUGGUGAGGUAGAGGCUCACCAAGGCGACGAUCGGUAGCCGGCCUGAGAGGGUGAACGGCCACAUUGGGACUGAGACACGGCCCAAACUCCUACGGGAGGCAGCAGUGGGGAAUAUUGGACAAUGGGGGAAACCCUGAUCCAGCGACGCCGCGUGAGUGAAGAAGUAUUUCGGUAUGUAAAGCUCUAUCAGCAGGGAAGAAAAUGACGGUACCUGACUAAGAAGCCCCGGCUAACUACGUGCCAGCAGCCGCGGUAAUACGUAGGGGGCAAGCGUUAUCCGGAUUUACUGGGUGUAAAGGGAGCGCAGACGGCGAAGCAAGUCUGAAGUGAAAUGCAUGGGCUCAACCCAUGAAUUGCUUUGGAAACUGUUUGGCUUGAGUGUCGGAGGGGUAAGCGGAAUUCCUAGUGUAGCGGUGAAAUGCGUAGAUAUUAGGAGGAACACCGGAGGCGAAGGCGGCUUACUGGACGACAACUGACGUUGAGGCUCGAAGGCGUGGGGAGCAAACAGG